UACGUAGGGUGCAAGCGUUGUCCGGAAUUAUUGGGCGUAAAGAGCUCGUAGGCGGCCUGUCGCGUCGGGCUGUGAAAAACUCAGGGGCUCAACCCCUGAGCCUGCAGUCGAUACGGGCAGGCUAGAGUCCGGCAGGGGGAGACUGGAAUUCCUGGUGUAGCGGUGAAAAUGCGCAGAUAUCAGGAGGAACACCGAUGGCGAAGGCAGGUCUCUGGGCCAUUUACUGACACUGAGAAAGCGAAAAGCAUGGGGGAGCGAACAGG
Molecule: ribosomal RNA, 263 nt
Filed under: uncultured bacterium
Lineage: Bacteria
Description: partial 16S ribosomal RNA
Rfam family: Bacterial small subunit ribosomal RNA
Source: RNAcentral